RNAcentral lists this ribosomal RNA (499 nucleotides) under uncultured bacterium. Its description in RNAcentral is "partial 16S ribosomal RNA". It matches the Rfam family "Bacterial small subunit ribosomal RNA", at positions 28 to 507 of the family's 1533-position model. The record is from RNAcentral.
GACGAACGCUGGCGGCGUGCCUAAUACAUGCAAGUCGAGCGGACUGAAUGGGAGCUUGCUCUUGUUCGGUCAGCGGCGGACGGGUGAGUAACACGUGGGCAACCUGCCCGCAAGACCGGGAUAACUCCGGGAAACCGGAGCUAAUACCGGAUAACACCGAAGACCGCAUGGUCUUUGGUUGAAAGGCGGCGCAAGCUGCCACUUGCGGAUGGGCCCGCGGCGCAUUAGCUAGUUGGUGAGGUAACGGCUCACCAAGGCGACGAUGCGUAGCCGGCCUGAGGGGGUGACCGGCCACACUGGGACUGAGACACGGCCCAGACUCCUACGGGAGGCAGCAGUAGGGAAUCUUCCGCAAUGGGCGAAGGCCUGACGGAGCGACGCCGCGUGAGCGAAGAAGGCCUUCGGGUCGUAAAGCUCUGUUGUGAGGGACGAAGGAGCGCCGUUUGAAGAAGGCGGCGCGGUGACGGUACCUCACGAGGAAGCCCCGGCUAACUACGUG